CGUGAUGCACUGGAUGUCCACGAUAAUCUUAGGAUCUUUCAGGAAUAAUUGGGAGACGUAUUUUAAUGAAGUUAGACCAUUGAAAGCAGAGAGAUUCAAGGCACUUCGCAUACAGUGGGCACAGUAUUAUCUAAAAGUUAGAAAUCAAACAUAGGAUGUUAGGCAACUAUGUAA
Long non-coding RNA from Glycine soja, 174 nucleotides. RefSeq lists it as uncharacterized. The transcript is spliced from 2 exons. The record is from RefSeq and is a predicted model, not a curated record. NCBI's taxonomy places the organism in Eukaryota, Viridiplantae, Streptophyta, Magnoliopsida, Fabales, Fabaceae.